GCAUUAAAAUAGAGACGGUGUUCGUCUAAAGAAAAAUAGAGACGGUGUUGGGGUGCAACCGUUCGCCUCCACCAGACAAGGGAGUGCGCCCCUUAUGUUGUAGCUUCUUCUUUCUCUUGAUUUUUUUUUUAAAAGGGAAGAUCACCGGUCUCUUCAUUGGUUGAUUGUACACAUCCAUACAUUAUUCAUUAUUCAAAGUUAACAGACAAAGCCAAACAACUUAACAAUAUCGAACAAGUCUACCAAUCAAGAAAAAAAAAACCGAGACUAUCUAUCUUACAGCAACUCCGCAAACCAACCGAACCCUAUAUAACAAAUGACCGAAACAGACAAAAGGUACACAACUUCUAGAGAAAACCUUGAAGAAGGUUCAUCGCACGUGCGGGAUCGAUAAUAUGAGUCCAACCAUUGGCCUACAUCAGGAUUUUCAUCAAAAAAUCAAGUUUCGAGCCACCACCUUCAGCAAGGGCAUGACACAUGCGUGUGGACAUUGCGUGGUCAUAGAUUAUGUGAUUCCACCAGAGUGAGUGUAUACUUUCCGUUGAGGUCGUCACUGUCAUGAAUCCCUCUACCAGC
Molecule: long non-coding RNA, 576 nt
Filed under: Brachypodium distachyon (stiff brome)
Lineage: Eukaryota; Viridiplantae; Streptophyta; Magnoliopsida; Poales; Poaceae
Description: long non-coding RNA (BDIS_LNC005707)
Source: RNAcentral